UAAUACACUGAAAAUGUGCAGUUAACAUAGAAAAUCAUAAUUUGAAGAGUGACUGUUAUCAAGAUGUGCUCAAAACCAGUUGGCAUUCCUAAGAACAAUGGAGCAAAGUGGAAAUGUGCUGCAAAGGGAGAGGACGCGAGCAGAAGUACUUCAAACAGCAAGUGUUGGGGAUUCCUAUUUGGGGGAUCCUUUAAGAAUACUCUGCUGGUUAAGCAUCCUUCUGCACAGAAAUGCAGAGAAGCACCUUCUGAAUAUUAGCUGUGGACUGCAUUACUUUCACUAGUUCUGAUUAAAGUGCUAUUGCAUCCCGGUAAGAUUGAUGAACUGUGGAGGAUAUGUGAAUGCUGUCUCUUCAUGUCAAAGAAAGAGUGUGAAGAAUUUAAAUAAACAUAGCAUUUAGA
Long non-coding RNA from Tympanuchus pallidicinctus (lesser prairie-chicken), 401 nucleotides. RefSeq lists it as uncharacterized. The record is from RefSeq and is a predicted model, not a curated record. Lineage: Eukaryota; Metazoa; Chordata; Aves; Galliformes; Phasianidae. The transcript is spliced from 2 exons.